Molecule: long non-coding RNA, 563 nt
Filed under: Lepisosteus oculatus (spotted gar)
Lineage: Eukaryota; Metazoa; Chordata; Actinopteri; Semionotiformes; Lepisosteidae
Description: lncRNA (ENSLOCG00000021776.1)
Source: RNAcentral
GCUUCUGACUGUUUGUGUCAUUCCUGGGUAGCUUUCUCUGCAGGAGAAGAGAUCGUUCUGCAUCUCACCUUCUGACUUCACACUAGGGCAUUGUGGGUCCAUUGUGUGAGCGCUGCAGCGGAAUUCUUCAAGUGCAGCACAGAUGGGCACCAGAAUCCUCCAUCUGUUCCUCGAAUCGCAACACUCCGUGCAAGCAGUUAUCGGAGUCCUGGGUCAGUGAUGUGAAUCCCUGGCCACUCUUUACAGCCUCUGGAUGCUCAAAUCUCUCGGUCGCCUGUGCCAAAACCAUAGGGAAGUCUGCUCUGGCCCAUGUUCACACAUUUGAUGGACAAUUCUGCCAGUUUUCCGACAGGAGGAAAAACAAUCAGCCCCAGUAAGACUUAUGAGUUGCUCCGACUACUGCCCUUUCAAAGUCCGGUUGAGGAACAGGGAAAACAGAAAGUGAGGUCAGAGCAUCUCACCACGGUCACCAUCGAGGUGACCCCGCCCCAUUUCUGAGGCAGAGGUGGGGAUCUGUUAAUGGUUCAGCUGCAAGGUUUGCAUUUGGCUUAAUUUGCUAAUUU